GUAUUUAGAAUUAAGUAUUCAAAAAUAUUUUCAGACAAAAAAUUUCAAUAAAGGGUUGGUAUUAUGCUGACAAGAACGCGUAAAACGAGCCUGUCAGCAAACAUUGCACACAAGGUGAAUACUGAUUUUUAAAAAGUGCAGUAAAACACUUAUUAUGAAUGAUCCUUCCGCAGGUUCACCUACGGAAA
This 188-nucleotide unclassified non-coding RNA is filed under the name uncultured fungus. RNAcentral's name for it is "sequence contains ITS1". Lineage: Eukaryota; Fungi. The record is from RNAcentral.